GUGGGGAAUAUUGGACAAUGGGCGCAAGCCUGAUCCAGCCAUGCCGCGUGCAGGAAGACGCAUCUAUGGUGUGUAAACUGCUUUUGUACGGGAAGAAACACUCCCUCGUGAGGGAGCUUGACGGUACCGUAAGAAUAAGGAUCGGCUAACUCCGUUCCAGCAGCCGCGGUAAUACGGAGGAUCCAAGCGUUAUCCGGAAUCAUUGGGUUUAAAGGGUCCGUAGGCGGUUUAAUAAGUCAGUGGUGAAAGCCCAUCGCUCAACGAUGGAACGGCCAUUGAUACUGUUAGACUUGAAUUACAAGGAAGUAACUAGAAUAUGUAGUGUAGCGGUGAAAUGCUUAGAUAUUACAUGGAAUACCAAUUGCGAAGGCAGGUUACUACUUGUGGAUUGACGCUGAUGGACGAAAGCGUGGGGAGCGAACAGGAUUAGAAACCCCGGUAGUCC
This 445-nucleotide ribosomal RNA is filed under the name uncultured bacterium. Its description in RNAcentral is "partial 16S ribosomal RNA". It matches the Rfam family "Bacterial small subunit ribosomal RNA", at positions 354 to 796 of the family's 1533-position model. The record is from RNAcentral.